This 75-nucleotide transfer RNA is filed under the name bacterium. RNAcentral describes it as "tRNA-Gly". It matches the Rfam family "tRNA". Rfam says of the family: Transfer RNA (tRNA) molecules are approximately 80 nucleotides in length. RNAcentral also lists the same sequence under 1 other name. The record is from RNAcentral.
GCGGGUGUAGCACAACGGUUAGUGCUCCUGCCUUCCAAGCAGGAUACGACGGUUCAAUUCCGUUCACCCGCUCCA